CCACCGCCCCCGGUUCCGCCCUCAGCCGCAUUCCCACAGGGAAAGUACGCCUGCGCGGACGAAGAGAAGGCGUGGAAAAGGGACCGGUGUGUUAUCUCUGGAUGCCCCCUACUGAACCAUUUUCUGUGCAACUGGGAUUCUGUUCGGAAAGUCCUGUCCUAUGCCUCUAGGGAUCCUGCCCUGACCUGGAGGAAAGAAUGCUGCACCAGAGGCUGAUAUUUCUGACGUCCAGACAAGCAGGGCCUUUCUGCAGCACCAGCGCCAGCAUCACUACAUCUGCUUUGUCCAAGCCAGUUGUGGCAACUACAACUAAAGAACUGAACUUUAACCAUGUUGGGUGUGUGUGCUCCAGUUUCAUUGAGGAGGCUGAGGCAGGAGGAUCACUUGAG
Long non-coding RNA from Chinchilla lanigera (long-tailed chinchilla), 389 nucleotides. RefSeq lists it as uncharacterized. The transcript is spliced from 4 exons. The record is from RefSeq and is a predicted model, not a curated record. NCBI's taxonomy places the organism in Eukaryota, Metazoa, Chordata, Mammalia, Rodentia, Chinchillidae.